Felis catus (domestic cat) is the source of this 84-nucleotide non-coding RNA. NCBI's taxonomy places the organism in Eukaryota, Metazoa, Chordata, Mammalia, Carnivora, Felidae. The record is from Rfam.
GCCUGGGUAUCUCAGUCGGUUAAGCGUCUGACUUUGGCUCAGGUCAUGAUCUCACGGUUGGUGGGUUCGAGCCCCCCUCAGGCU